AAAGUGGCGGGGUGUCACCCGAACUUUCACAGCCCACUCUCUCCUGGCGUUGGACACUAAGCUGCUGGAGGCGAAGACUCACAUAGGACAUCGCCAUGGCGGAAAUCGAGCAGUCUAUGAUUGAUGAGAUGAAGGAUGGAUUCCCCCUGUUUGACAACAAGGGUGAUGGCAAGAUCGACGGAGCACAGCUGGGCGAUGUCUUGAGGUCUUUCGGCCUGAACCCCAGCAACGCGGAAGUCGAGAAGAUCGCGAAGGCGAAUGAGGGCAAGAGGCUGAGCUUCGAUGACUACCUGGCCAUCCACAAGCAGGUCCUUGCUCAGGGUGAGGUCGGAUCGUACGAGGACUUCUUUGAGGGCCUGAAGCUUUUCGACAAGGAGGGCACCGGCCUGAUCAGUGGAGCUGAGCUGCGCCACGUGUUGGCCACACUAGGUGAGAAGCUGACUGAGGCCCAGGUUGAUGAGUUGAUGGCUGGCGGUGGCGGACAGGAGGACGCUGAGGGCAAUGUCAACUACGACAUGUUCUCUAAAUAUGCCUUGGAGGGCUAGACCAUAGAAUUCAUCUGUUACGCUCUCGCAGAGGCUCUUUAAGUUCGUCAAGUACAUCCUGACUGGUUAAGAUAUCCGCGUAAGGAGAGGAAGAGGAAGGUGUUUGAUAACAUCCAAGAACACCAUGUAUAGUUAGAGCUAUUUAUGUUUGCCGAGAAAAAAAACAAAGAAGUUCAAUCAGAUGCAACGAAGGACCAUCACGUGUUUCAACGGCUGCCUUUAGAAGAUAGCUCACUUGCGUCCACGACGCAUGCCCAGAACUCUUGAAAACUCGCGGGGUUACCAACCGGCGUUCAGUGCGCAUGUCUUUAGCAUUUCCAGCUCUGAUUUUACCUAGGGUAACGUUGGCGUUUUCUUCAACUGUUCUGGGGCACGCCAUAACAACUUUUCUAAAAUGUGUAAAAUGUAAAUGUAACAAAUUUUCGCAGACUAUUGUAGCAUUCGACCUUACUUUGGUGUGCAUGUGCCUAAAUGUGUCCCCCGAUCGACUGUGAAUUUUGUUACUUUGUUCCCUUUCUAUGUUCAAUAAAGUACUGGGUUUGGAACAA
Molecule: RNA transcript, 1093 nt
Organism: Branchiostoma belcheri (Belcher's lancelet)
Lineage: Eukaryota; Metazoa; Chordata; Leptocardii; Amphioxiformes; Branchiostomatidae
Gene name: myosin, essential light chain
Exons: 9
Source: RefSeq, a predicted model, not a curated record